Ictidomys tridecemlineatus (thirteen-lined ground squirrel) is the source of this 3713-nucleotide non-coding RNA. NCBI's taxonomy places the organism in Eukaryota, Metazoa, Chordata, Mammalia, Rodentia, Sciuridae. The record is from RefSeq and is a predicted model, not a curated record.
AGCACACUCACAUACUCACACACAUACACUCACACAACACUCUCACACACACACACACUCUCUCUCACACACUCACACCCUCACGCACACUCUCACACACAUACCUGGCCUCUUGUGUGUAUUUACACUGUAAUUUUGCACCCCCCAAAUCCCCCCUGACGUCAGAGGCGCCAUGAAUCACAAUGACAGCUCUCCUGGUAUCCAAGAGACCUGUGCAGGCUGCUAAGUCACCGUCCCCCACUGUGAGAACUGUCACUAGAUUGGAGUCUUCCGCUGAAGGAACAAAAUUCCAUCCCCAAGGACCCACAUUGUGUCGCAGCUAAUGACCCAGUUAACCUCGGGCUAAUUUCCUGCCUCUCUGCGCCCUGGGAACGCUGGUGUUUACUCCGCUUGGGACAAAUCUUUAUGAAUGUGCGGAGCCUGGCCGCUCUGGGCCAGUGUUUUCUUGGAAAUUGGCUGAGGGCCAGGGCCCUGCUGAAGUCCUGAAGUCGCAGAGUGUGAAUGGCCUCCCUCCAGCCCUCCUCUGCCUGAUUUGCAUGACUGAGCUUUCUGCUCUUCCCUCUAAGGUGCUUGUUUGUUGGUUAUUGAUCUGUCUCCUAUGGAGAGACAAAUUAUCAGCCCACCAGGCAGUGGCCUCAAUUUGGCAGAAGCCCCAGCUGUGUCUGCAGCAAACCAGAGUCAGAGGGUCACACUCAUCCGCAGGAAAAUUCCAGAACUCUGAUGGCCCAAGGAUGUGAGGAUCCAAGCUGCUCUGGCCCCAGCAGCGUUCUCAAGAGGAAUCUUGGCGAGGAGAACUGGAGGGGUGAGCAGGGAGGAGAGGAUCCUCCUACAUAAAAAUCUGGCUCAAUUUAACAAGAGGCUCAAAAGCCUCUUUAAAUGAGCCUGCUGGUUCCCUGGGGAAAGGGGUGCUGCUCUCAGCCAGGCACCGGGCUGCUGCAGGCCCGUGAUCCCAGGGAGGCGGAGGCAGGAGGAGUUCGAGGCCAGCCUCGGGAAUUUGGUGAGACCCUCGGCAACUUAGUGAGACCCUUUCUCAAAAAUAAAAUUAAAUUAAAAUUGAAAAGGGCUGGGGAUGUUGCUCAAUGGUGAAGUGCCCCUGGGUUCAAUCCCCAGUGUGUGUGUGUGUGUGUGUGUGUGUGUGUGUGUAUAAAAGUGGCUCUCAGCUCUUAUGAGACCCCAUAGCAUCUUUUUUUAAAGCAAAUACUGUAUCAUUUCCACUUUAGUUUAAAUUUUGAGUUGAAGUUAAUUCUUGGGUAACAGCCUACCUACCCAUCUUUUUAGAAAUUCAGUGCAGGGCCCUAAUUAUAAUAUAAAGGCAAAUGUAAGAAAAGUAGUUUGCAAUUAGGUCACACCUGUCCCGACAUUCAGCCGCUGGGGCGUUGGAAUGACGGGUGACAUGGCCGGUGACAAGCACGUGGAGGAGGCCCCUCAGACCCAGGGGGAGGUGCCUGGUGAUGUCACCCUGGCAAUGUUUUGCACAAAGCUGGUACAGCUGCCCUGAGUUCACACCAGAGGUGCCAUCCCAGGAACCAAGGGGACAGCAGGACAGUGCCCAAAGCACCGUUUCCAGGUAAAGCGGGUUUUUCUUUGGGGUUUGAUGGCUGUGGGGCAGAAGACUCGGGUCGGAAGGCGGAGAAGGAAAGGAAGGGACUGUAGCUGGGGAUGUGAAGCACCCACCCCAUACCUGGGUCCCACCCGCUUGGUGCUCUGGGCCUGUCACUCCCAAAGCUCUGAGAAAUCUCCCCGUCUCAGCUCACUGUGAAGUUGCUCUGAAAAUCGCCUCCUGCUGGCGGGAUCACCUGUGCCCUGGGCCUCACAAUGCCGCUGAGAUCAGGCAGAGCACAGCAGGUGUAGUUCAGAAACCCGCGGCCACCUGCGGAGGAGACGGGGUCCACAGGCAGAUCCCCAGGGCCAUGGACACCUCAGGAUCCAGGAUCAAAGAACAGAGCUCACCAGACGGACGUCACCCCACGUGCUUUCCCUGUGUCCACCUGAAAUGGCUGGAGGCAGGGUCCUCCCUCUGAAAUAAGAGCAAAGUCCCCCCUGGUGGGGGAAGGGAGCCCAAGGGCUGUGACCCCCCCACACACCCCACCAAGGAGCAGCAGAGAAACAGAUGGAAACAAGAACUCCCGCUCCCACUCUGGUGUGACAUAACCAGGCGGUCCAGACAGGAUGGGGACGAUGGGAAGGGCUUGGCAUCCACAGCGCCCUGCAUAGGGACAGGGACGGUAAGGUCCAUGGGAAGCUCCCCUGGAAGAUCCAUCCCACAGACCAACUAUGGGGCCCACCAGGACAAAGGCAGAAGGCUGGCCACGCCUUGGGAUCCUCAGUCCCUGUUAGUCCAACCCCCAGCCCACGCAGGCCACGUGUUUAGUGAGCACCUGCUACGUGAGGGGUGUGGGAACUAAGUGCCAUGGACCCUACAGCCUGGAGCAGUGACAGGUAUCAGGAGGUGCGCUGUCACACCUGUGGCCGGAUCUGGGUGGCGUGGUUCUCAUUCCUCGCAUAUCUUCCAAGGAACGCUGCUCUGCAGGAGAGACUGUGCGACCCUGUGCUCAAUUCCUUUGGAAUUCUGACACCUAUUAACCCUGCUUAUACGGUUGCCCCAGGUGACCGAGACACCUCAGAGACCAGGCCAGUGCUGGGGGUCACUGAUGGCCCAGCCUGUGUCCCCCCAGUCCUCCCCAAGACCCCCAGUCCUGUGCUUGCUUGUGCAGAGCCUCGGGUUCUGUCUCAGCACCACAAACAACAACGAAGACAACAGUAAUAAUCACCACUGCCCCGGGGGCCUCCCAAGAUGAGAAACCAACAAGGUGGCUUGAAACAGACCAAAGCGCUCUCUGGCUCUGGGCAACUGGUUACUCAAAAGGACCUCUUUUUCCUAGGACAUUCUGUUUUUAAAUUAAUUAGCAGACUGAUUUUUUUGGAGCAAUUUUAGCUCCACAGAAAAAUGGAGCAGAAGGUCCAGGAUUCCCGAGCACCUGACCUGUCCUGCAGCAAGCGUGUCCUCCUGUGACCCUGCCGUCCCGAGGUUCUGCUAUCGACAGGCACUGGCCAAGAGUAUGAAAUGUGAUUUCCUUUUUUCUUUUUAAUCAGGCUUUACUUUUUAGAGCAGUCUCAGGUACAAAAUCUGUAGUGAAGGAGGCCAGCGUCCCAACCCCAAGCCCUGUCCUCCCCUGCCCCCUCUGUUCUUAGCAUCUGGCAGAGAGAGACGUUGGUUACAAAUGAUGAGUCAAUACGGGUCCAUUAUCAUCAACUCAGGGGUCACUCUGUGUUGGCUGUUCUGUGGGUUUUGAUAAAUGAAUCGUGACACUUUCCCUCCAUUGUGUAUCUUACAGAGUAUGCACUGCCCACUAGCCUCCAGCCCCAUCUCUGUCCCUCCUUCCCCAAGUCCCUGACAACCGCUGUUUUUUUAAGUUUCUAUAGUUUCCACCUUUAUGAAUCAGCGCACCUGACCCAAGUCAGUGACGGACCCUGAGGAGGAACCGGGAUGGGAUGGAGACCAGGAGGACGUCAAUCCCAGAGCCAGGCCCACGGAGAACCUCGGGAAGAGUCCGAUGCUCCACAUUUCACCUAGAUUUCUGUGUCCACUCAUGGCUCCUGUGCAACCCACAUGGAUUUGUUUUGUUUGUUGUUUAUUUGUUUGUUUUUUGUACUGGGGAUUAAACUCAGGGACUCAACCCCUGAGCCACAUCCCCAGCCCUAGUUUGUAUUUU